ACUAAGCUAUGUAAUAAGAAAUAUAUUUAGCGCUCAUAUUUUUGCUAAGUGUAUGGCCGAGCUUCUCCUUCCAUUUGCAGUAUGUGUCUUGACUUUAUAACUCGAAUGGAUUUUAUGUGAUAAGCUUUUUAGAAAAAACUUUUCGGAUCAGGGAUCGAAGUUUGGUCACACCGUGUGGAAGUUUGCACAUCUAAGAACUCGGCCACUGGGGUCGUGUUACCAAUGCUGAUUUUCAAAGAAACGAAGUGCCAAAGUUGCACGAAACACUUUUGGAACGUUCUGGUACGGGAAGACGAAAAGUUUGUGCUUAUAGCUAAGGUCGAAGGAAACGGGAACUCUCCAGCGCAAACACUGAACGUCUCUUGAUUCAAGUGGUAAACUUACAGCCGAGCGAAUAGCGUCGGUUGAGACUGCUGUGAACGGAAACAGGGCCAGAUUUACGGCCUUCGAUAGCCUUCAAGUGCAUUACCAGAAUAAAUAUCUCUCAAGCAGCAAACCGUCGUCAGACGUCAGGAGAAUAAGGAGGAAUUCGUGAAUCUGUGGCCGAGAGCUAAAGAGCAGUGAAGGUAACUUUAGUAACCGCCUAAGAAAGGUUCAAAUCGCCUGGGGCCUGGACUCGAUACUUUAUUGUGAUAGCCAAAGAUCAUAGGCCGCACGGAUGAAAGUCGGAUUUGUGUAUACGAAGAAAACUGGGUCUGUAUAGGCAAAACCAGUCCUACCAAGUGAUGCCGAAAUCGACUUCUUUACAGACGCUGGCUGGUUACAUAGAUAGUACGUAAGUGGCAUGACGAUGGUAGAACCGGGAAGAUAAAUAAAUUUGAGAUCGGUGAAAUAAUAUUAGUCUAUCCAAAAGCUUGUAUGAAAGUCCUUAAAGCUUGAGAUGUUUCAUAACGACCCAGGAAGAGAGAUGGGGGCCAUCUUGGAAACUUAAAAACGUGCAGUACAUAUCCACGAAAACAACGUACAUGUCUAAGCGAAAGAAACAAAAAAAAAAAU
This is a long non-coding RNA of Rhagoletis pomonella (apple maggot), 996 nucleotides long. RefSeq lists it as uncharacterized. NCBI's taxonomy places the organism in Eukaryota, Metazoa, Arthropoda, Insecta, Diptera, Tephritidae. The transcript has 2 exons. The record is from RefSeq and is a predicted model, not a curated record.